Molecule: ribosomal RNA, 485 nt
Filed under: uncultured bacterium
Lineage: Bacteria
Description: SSU rRNA
Rfam family: Bacterial small subunit ribosomal RNA
Source: RNAcentral
AGGACGAACGCUGGCGGCGUGCUUAACACAUGCAAGUCGAACGGAAAGGCCCUUUCGGGGGUACUCGAGUGGCGAACGGGUGAGUAACACGUGGGUGAUCUGCCCUGCACUUUGGGAUAAGCCUGGGAAACUGGGUCUAAUACCGAAUACACCUUGCUGGCUGCAUGGCCUGGUGGGGGAAAGCUUUUGCGGUGUGGGAUGGGCCCGCGGCCUAUCAGCUUGUUGGUGGGGUGAUGGCCUACCAAGGCGACGACGGGUAGCCGGCCUGAGAGGGUGUCCGGGCCACACUGGGACUGAGAUGCGGCCCAGACUCCUACGGGAGGCAGCAGUGGGGGAAUAUUGCACAAUGGGCGCAAGCCUGAUGCAGCGACGCCGCGUGAGGGAUGACGGCCUUCGGGUUGUAAACCGUCUUUCAGUAUCGACGAAGCGCAAGUGACGGUAGGUACAGAAGAAGCACCGGCCAACUACGCGCCAGCAGCCGCGGU